CUCCUGACCCAGACAGAGAAAUUAAAACCUAUAACAACCAGCACAAGCUUCAUGUUCAAACCCUCUUAGCACCGGCACUAACACCUUCCCAUUAUGUGACUCUUUCACUCUCCGGACGGCCACCUCUCUUAUACUUGCUCAAGAAUAAAUAAACAGAUAUGAGGUGGUCGUCAAGAAAGUUGUGGUUCGUGUAGUGUAAAAAUUUAUCAAGAAUUGUGGAAGUAAUGGGAGGUGUUCGAAGAAAUGAACCUGAAUCGCCUUCUCAAGGGCGGUUUCUCUCUUAUAGGGCAACUUCGAUCCUUUGGCAUUUUCUGUUCCUCUGGAAAAUCUCUCUUGGCUAGCUUCAAGCGAGUUGGGCUUCGAGGAAACUUUUACAAGGGCGAGUCAGACUAUAUCAUAUCUAUCUAUUUUUCUUUGGCUUUUGUGAUGGUGUACAUAUGAUUAGUGCCUGCUGCUGCUGCUCCAAGCUGGGCAUCUGUCAUAUGCAUAUGUGUGUUUAGGCCUCUGGCCAAGGUUUAUUAUUAUAAUUAGAUUGCUACUGAAAUCUACUGGUGUAUGUUUUAAUUUUGCUUCUUUCUUUAUUUAUUGCUUUCUAGUGUGUUCAUGGAGCAAUUCUGAGAAGAGGGUUCUGACUUUAAUUCUUAUUUUUUUUUUU
RNAcentral lists this unclassified non-coding RNA (655 nucleotides) under Hevea brasiliensis (rubber tree). The record is from RNAcentral. Lineage: Eukaryota; Viridiplantae; Streptophyta; Magnoliopsida; Malpighiales; Euphorbiaceae.